This 253-nucleotide ribosomal RNA is filed under the name uncultured bacterium. RNAcentral describes it as "partial 16S ribosomal RNA". It matches the Rfam family "Bacterial small subunit ribosomal RNA", at positions 524 to 776 of the family's 1533-position model. The record is from RNAcentral.
UACGUAGGGACCAAGCGUUGUUCGGAUUUACUGGGUUUAAAGGGUGCGUAGGCGGCCAAGUAAGUCAGGAGUGAAAGUUUGCGGCUCAACCGUAAAAUUGCUUUUGAUACUGCUAGGCUGGAAUUAGGAUGAGGUCAGCGGAAUGUGGCAUGUAGCGGUGAAAUGCAUAGAUAUGCCAUAGAACACCAAUUGCGAAGGCAGCUGGCUAGACCUGGAUUGACGCUGAGGCACGAAAGCGUGGGGAGCGAACAGG